RNAcentral lists this ribosomal RNA (253 nucleotides) under uncultured bacterium. Its description in RNAcentral is "partial 16S ribosomal RNA". It matches the Rfam family "Bacterial small subunit ribosomal RNA", at positions 524 to 776 of the family's 1533-position model. The record is from RNAcentral.
UACGUAGGGCGCAAGCGUUGUCCGGAAUUAUUGGGCGUAAAGAGCUCGUAGGCGGUUUGUUGCGUCUAUCGUGAAAACCUGCGGCUUAACUGUGGGCUUGCGGUGGAUACGGGCAGACUUGAGUUCGGUAGGGGAGACUGGAAUUCCUGGUGUAGCGGUGAAAUGCGCAGAUAUCAGGAGGAACACCGGUGGCGAAGGCGGGUCUCUGGGCCGAUACUGACGCUGAGGAGCGAAAGCGUGGGGAGCGAACAGG